CACUAUAGGCUGACUUGUUUCUCUCUCUAACUGCUCUAAUCAUAUUUACUUGACACCUUCAUUUCAGAGGCUUUCACAACUGAAAAUCACAGAAUGCCUAAUUUUUGUGUAUUUUUUUUUAGUAGAGACGGGGUUUCUCCAUGUUGGCCAGACUGGUCUCGAAUGCCUGACUUCAGGCGAUCCACCCGCCUCAGCCUCCCAAAGUGCUGGGAUUACAGGUGUGAGCCACUGUGCCCGGCCAGAAUGUCUAAUUUUAAAAGGUGCUAGAGAUCUUCCAUCUAAGCUUCUCACUUUAAAAGAGAUACUGGAUUGUAAGAGGAAGCCAAGAGUCUCAGGCCCUUCGCCCUUGCUUCUCAGAAAAGAACAGCUAACCAUUGCCAACCAGAAUGCAUAGAAACUGAACUACUUCUGUGUCUGCAAUCGUCAUCUUGGACAAAUUACCUAAACUGCUUGGGCUGAGAUAUGUGAAUUCAGAUAUUGAAGCUUAUUUAUACCUUCAUAAUUCUAUGCUUCCAUAAUGAUUAAAUCCAC
RNAcentral lists this long non-coding RNA (531 nucleotides) under Pan troglodytes (chimpanzee). RNAcentral describes it as "long non-coding RNA NONPTRT015290". The record is from RNAcentral. Lineage: Eukaryota; Metazoa; Chordata; Mammalia; Primates; Hominidae.